AUGCCGUGGCAUCUGCAGGUCGCGAGCGCGCUGGCCAUGGAGUUCCUGCCGGACAGCAUCCCCGCGGUGUUCGCCGCCGCGGCGGCCGCGCUGUACGCGCGCUCGGCGUCGUCCCUGCUCCGGCCGCGCCUCGCCGCGCUGCUCCCGGUGCUCGCGCUCCUCGCGGCCGCGCCGCUGGCCUUCGCCUCCUCCGCCAUCGUCCGGGGCGUCGCCGCCUUCUUCCUCGCCUGGCUCGGCGCCUUCAAGGUCGCCCUCCUCGCCGCUCGACCCCGCCCUCCCCGUGCUCCCGUUCCUCUUCACCGCCCUGCUCCCCGUCAAGCUCCGGCGCCGCGGCGCCGCUGGAGCAGCGUCCGAGGCCAAGGCGGCGCUGCUCAAGGACGAGUGGGCUGCCGUGGCGGCAUUCUUCCUCGACGCCGGCCGAAAGAUGAAUUCCAUUGUUGUACAGUCAACGGAGUAGCUAGCAAUAGUAAUUGCUUCCAUGAAAGCAGUCAAAUCAUAGAUCACCAAGUGAACUUCUCUGAUGGAUGGUUCAGUGAAAACGAAAAGCGCCGUUGA
RNAcentral lists this ribosomal RNA (555 nucleotides) under Triticum aestivum (bread wheat). RNAcentral's name for it is "partial small subunit ribosomal RNA". The record is from RNAcentral. Lineage: Eukaryota; Viridiplantae; Streptophyta; Magnoliopsida; Poales; Poaceae.